Molecule: signal recognition particle RNA, 114 nt
Filed under: Escherichia coli
Lineage: Bacteria; Pseudomonadati; Pseudomonadota; Gammaproteobacteria; Enterobacterales; Enterobacteriaceae
Description: 4.5S sRNA component of Signal Recognition Particle (SRP)
Rfam family: Bacterial small signal recognition particle RNA (bases 8-104)
About the family: The signal recognition particle (SRP) is a universally conserved ribonucleoprotein involved in the co-translational targeting of proteins to membranes. Archaeal SRP consists of a 7S RNA and homologues of the eukaryotic SRP19 and SRP54 proteins.
Source: RNAcentral
GGGGCUCUGUUGGUUCUCCCGCAACGCUACUCUGUUUACCAGGUCAGGUCCGGAAGGAAGCAGCCAAGGCAGAUGACGCGUGUGCCGGGAUGUAGCUGGCAGGGCCCCCACCCA